GGGGAAUAUUGGACAAUGGGCGAAAGCCUGAUCCAGCCAUGCCGCGUGUGUGAAGAAGGUCUUCGGAUUGUAAAGCACUUUAAGUUGGGAGGAAGGGCUGCAAGUUAAUACCUUGUAGUUUUGACGUUACCAACAGAAUAAGCACCGGCUAACUUCGUGCCAGCAGCCGCGGUAAUACGAAGGGUGCAAGCGUUAAUCGGAAUUACUGGGCGUAAAGCGCGCGUAGGUGGUUUGGUAAGAUGGAUGUGAAAUCCCCGGGCUCAACCUGGGAACUGCAUCCAUAACUGCUUAGCUUGAAUCCGGGAGAGGGUGGCGGAAUUCCAGGUGUAGGAGUGAAAUCCGUAGAUAUCUGGAGGAACAUCAGUGGCGAAGGCGGCCACCUGGACCGGUAUUGACGCUGAGGUGCGAAAGCGUGGGGAGCAAACA
Molecule: ribosomal RNA, 426 nt
Filed under: uncultured Pseudomonadales bacterium
Lineage: Bacteria; Pseudomonadati; Pseudomonadota; Gammaproteobacteria; Pseudomonadales
Description: bacterial SSU rRNA
Rfam family: Bacterial small subunit ribosomal RNA
Source: RNAcentral